UCUUCCUCCUCACCUCUCCAACACCGCUUUUCGAUAGUUAUCUGGUUCAUUUCAUGUCUCUUGCUAUUAGAUUUCGAGAAUAUUAUAUAAAACAUCGUUUCGAGUUUGUAGUAUACAGAGGUAUCAAUUAUGCCACCCUCAGUUAGCAGAGGGUACGUGACACCCUUUAGCACCUCGUAACUGGAGAUUGUAAGCAGAGAACCGAGGAAGCAAACUAACCAACGUCGUCAACCAACCCUACAUGGUUUUAAUCGCACGUCCUAUGAAACGAACAUUGGUGUCGCGCGUCAUCUGCUACGGACAAAUGUUAAGGCAUUUUCAAAGAGAGAGAGAGAGAGAGAGAGAGAGAGAGAGAGAGAGAGAGAGAAAGAGAGAGGGAUAUCAAAAGGUAACCGAGCAAUCGAUUUGAAGGCUAUUGUUCACAACCUUUCUCUCGAAGCUUAUAUGACUUCAGCGACCUAUGAACUACAAACGAGAAAUGUGAGAAUAUUAUAUCGAUAUAUAAGCUUAUAUAAGUAUAUACAUUUCUCACGU
This is a long non-coding RNA of Vespa mandarinia (Asian giant hornet), 534 nucleotides long. The record is from RefSeq and is a predicted model, not a curated record. NCBI's taxonomy places the organism in Eukaryota, Metazoa, Arthropoda, Insecta, Hymenoptera, Vespidae.